AUGCACGCUGGCGGCGUGCCUAAUCCCUGCCAGUCGAGCGAACGGACGAGAAGCUUGCUUCUCUGAUGUUAGCGGCGGACGGGUGAGUAACACGUGGAUAACCUACCUAUAAGACUGGGAUAACUUCGGGAAACCGUAGCUAAUACCGGAUAAUAUUUUGAACCGCAUGGUUCAAAAGUGAAAGACGGUCUUGCUGUCACUUAUAGAUGGAUCCGCGCUGCAUUAGCUAGUUGGUAAGGUAACGGCUUACCAAGGCAACGAUGCAUAGCCGACCUGAGAGGGUGAUCGGCCACACUGGAACUGAGACACGGUCCAGACUCCUACGGGAGGCAGCAGUAGGAAAUCUUCCGCAAUGGGCGAAAGCCUGACGGAGCAACGCCGCGUGAGUGAUGAAGGUCUUCGGAUCGUAAAACUCUGUUAUUAGGGAAGAACAUAUGUGUAAGUAACUGUGCACAUCUUGACGGUACCUAAUCAGAAAGCCACGGCUAACUACGUG
This 496-nucleotide ribosomal RNA is filed under the name uncultured bacterium. RNAcentral describes it as "partial 16S ribosomal RNA". It matches the Rfam family "Bacterial small subunit ribosomal RNA", at positions 29 to 507 of the family's 1533-position model. The record is from RNAcentral.